Long non-coding RNA from Prosopis cineraria, 2085 nucleotides. RefSeq lists it as uncharacterized. The transcript is spliced from 2 exons. NCBI's taxonomy places the organism in Eukaryota, Viridiplantae, Streptophyta, Magnoliopsida, Fabales, Fabaceae. The record is from RefSeq and is a predicted model, not a curated record.
AAAUAGGUUCUUGUGGUGAGAGAGCUAACAUUCCAAAGCUGCAAAUCCGGUGAUUUAAUUUUCUCUUGCUGAGAUAUAUUAUUAUUAUCUCAUCUCCUUCUCUUCUGAUACUGUAGAGUGUAGAGAGAAGAUGAGUAUGGUGAGGCUUGUUGACAGAAGAUAGAGAGCACAGAUGAUGAUAUGCAUAUCACAUGAAACUCAUUUCACUGCAUUUCAUUCCUUUGUGCUCUCUAUUCUUCUGUCAUCACAUUCAGCCUCUCCUCAUAAUUCCUCUAUAUCUCUCUCUCCCCCCCCCUCCAGCUACAUCACCUCUUAAUUCAUGUUUUAAUUUUUCUCUGUCAAAGUUUUAUUAUUUCUCCUCUGAACCAAUCAUUUUAUUCUUUUUUUCAUUUUAUUUUAUUUCCUGCUAGUUCAUUUCACUAUCAGUACAUGUAUACAGGCGCAGUGACAAGCUAGAGAUCACAAGUCAGUUUGUUGAUGGUGUAUCUGAAGAACUGGGCAUAUGAGCAACUGAUGGGAGAGUCUGUGCAGCACUGAAUGAUUAGCAGGAGAGAGACUGAUCCACGACCACGCUUCAUCUUCUUUGUGGUAGGAAGAAAUCAGGGAAAUAGCAGAGAGUAGCUGAACAAAGCGAAUACAAUUAAUGGGUCCAACUGACCAUGAUACAACGAACGUGUGACAUAUACUUACUUAUUCAGGAUUCUUCCUCCAAGUUACUUUUGCCCCAACUUGUUCAUUAAUUUGCUAAGGUGAUCUCAAAAAUAUAUAUGCAGUCAGUUAAUAUAUAUAUAUAUAUAUAUAUUGUUCAGAUAACAGCAAAAGAGGUCGAAAACUUGUCACUGGGUGAUGAUUUGAUGUAUAAAUCCGGUCCUUCAAUGGUACAACUUGCAUUUUUAUUUUUAUUUUUAUCAACAAUCUGGUCCUUGAAAAUAUAGUAUUUACCGUGCGUGAACAGUACAGAAGAAUAAAAGUGAAAAAGGCGUGGUCCCUGUCAAUUAUUGGAAGUGUCAUAUGAAAGUGGGAAAAAUUUUGAAAUGGUUUACAAAUUACAACUGUGAGACAGUGGAAUCAAACAGACACAGAGGCUUCGUUUUCUAAGGGGUAACAUCCAAGAAGACAGAAACCGUUUCCUGUAAACAAUGCGAGCCACAUAAUUAUAAAAGCACAGCACGCAAGCAUAAAAGAAAAAUCACGUGUGGGGUAUUGCUGGUACUUGCAUGUUUGUGUGUCCAAGGGAAGAUUGAAGUGAAAGAAGAAAAUUAAGGUCCUCUAAUUUUCUAAACCAACUGGAUUGGAUCUUAAGAAGGACAGUCUGUUAAAUCCUGAACCCGAUCCAGGUCACACACACAAGACAUCUUCUAGUUGCUCGGCCUGUAAAUGAAAUGACAGAAGCCACUUAUCUGAUUUUAUUUUAUUUAGUUGGUCAGUAUGUAAUAUACAGUAACUAGAUAUAUGUCAUCUUUGUUUAAGCAUGACUGUCUUGGAAAAAUCAGCACGCAUGAGCUCAGAUAGAGCUUACAAGUACCUAAACUAGAGCCAUAAGUACCUUGUAGUAAUUGUCCCGCAGGAAACACACAAUUGAUACAUCUAUUUACAUGUGCUAAUUAAAUAUUAAAAGAAAAGAUUCACAUAUUAUUUUUUAAUUUUCAUUCAACAAACGGUAAUUAAGAUAUAUAUUUGAAGGCAUGGCUUGGACCCGCGAUGCGAGAAUUACAAGGAUGCAUGUCUUGAUGCCCACUUGAACAAAAGAUUCUUGGCAUUCACGUAUAAUUUUUACUGUUGAUAAUUUCACAAUUUUGUGGAUUUAUACUAAAAGAGAAUACAGAGCUAGAGAGUUGGGGAGAAGGUUUAGGCUGUUUUAUCACAAUCUUGCAUCAUACUCGAAUUAUAAAAUUAGAUAUUUUUUGGACUCACACCAAAUCUCGCAAUUAGACUUCCAUUUAUUCUCUCCAAACAUCAACAUUCUUUCUUUUUGGUAAUAUGUUAUACAUUACAGGUUGAGAUGUUGAUGAUCAGUAAUGUAACUUCUGGUUGUGUGUGGCUCGUUGAUUAUUUUGAAAAGAAGUCCAUUUUCAUUUUGGCAAA